Molecule: ribosomal RNA, 580 nt
Filed under: uncultured Sphingobacteriia bacterium
Lineage: Bacteria; Pseudomonadati; Bacteroidota; Sphingobacteriia
Description: bacterial SSU rRNA
Rfam family: Bacterial small subunit ribosomal RNA
Source: RNAcentral
ACUCCUACGGGAGGCAGCAGUAAGGAAUAUUGGUCAAUGGACGCAAGUCUGAACCAGCCAUGCCGCGUGAAGGAUGAAGGUCCUCUGGAUUGUAAACUUCUUUUAUUUGGGAAGAAAUUCCUGUAUUCUUGCAGGAUUGACGGUACCAAGUGAAUAAGCACCGGCUAACUCCGUGCCAGCAGCCGCGGUAAUACGGAGGGUGCAAGCGUUAUCCGGAUUCACUGGGUUUAAAGGGUGCGUAGGUGGGUAGGUAAGUCCGUGGUGAAAUCCUGCAGCUUAACUGCAGAACUGCCGUGGAUACUAUUUAUCUUGAAUACCGUGGAGAUCAGCGGAAUAUGUCAUGUAGCGGUGAAAUGCUUAGAUAUGACAUAGAACACCAAUUGCGAAGGCAGCUGGUUACACGGAUAUUGACACUGAUGCACGAAAGCGUGGGGAUCAAACAGGAUUAGAUACCCUGGUAGUCCACGCCCUAAACUAUGGAUACUCGACAUUUGCGAUAAACUGUAAGUGUCUGAGCGAAAGCAUUAAGUAUCCCACCUGGGAAGUACGAUCGCAAGAUUGAAACUCAAAGGAAUUGACG